AUGGCAGAGGUAGAGCAGAAGCUGACGUUCCGCAAAUUCACCUACCGGGGCGUGGACUCGGACCAGCAGCUGUACAUGACUCACCAGCAGCUGAUGCAACCGUACAGUGCGUGCCAGCGGCAGAAGCUGAACCCGGGCCUGUGGCGGAAACAGCACUUGCUGCCCAAGUGCCUGCGCAAGGCCACGAAGCCGGAAGUGGAGAAGCCGGAAGUAGUGAAGACGCACCUGGGGGACAUGAUCAUCCUGCCCGAGAUGGUGGGCAGCAUGGUGGGCGUCUACAACGGCAAGACCUUCAACCAGGUGGAGAUCAAGCCAGAGAUGAUCGGCCACUACCUGGGCGAGUUCUCCAUCACCUACGAGCCGGUGAGGCACUGCCGGCCCGGCCUCAGGGCCACCCACUCCUCCCGCUUCAUCCCCCUCAAGUAGAGGCUCAGCUAAUAAAGGCACACAUAUCUCC
Molecule: non-coding RNA, 457 nt
Organism: Macaca mulatta (Rhesus monkey)
Lineage: Eukaryota; Metazoa; Chordata; Mammalia; Primates; Cercopithecidae
Source: RefSeq, a predicted model, not a curated record